GACGAACGCUGGCGGCAUGCCUAAUACAUGCAAGUCGAGCGAACAGAUGAAGUGCUUGCACUUCUGACGUUAGCGGCGAACGGGUGAGUAACACGUAGGGAAUCUACCUAUAAGCGGGGGAUAACAUUCGGAAACGGGUGCUAAUACCGCAUAAUAUCUUCUUCCGCAUGGAAGAAGAUUGAAAGACGGCUCUGCUGUCACUUAUAGAUGACCUUGCGGUGCAUUAGUUAGUUGGUGGGGUAACGGCCUACCAAGACGAUGAUGCAUAGCCGACCUGAGAGGGUGAUCGGCCACAUUGGGACUGAGACACGGCCCAAACUCCUACGGGAGGCAGCAGUAGGGAAUCUUCCGCAAUGGGCGAAAGCCUGACGGAGCAAUGCCGCGUGAGUGAAGAAGGCCUCCGGGUCGUAAAACUCUGUUAUGAGAGAAGAACAAAUUGUAGAGUAACUGCUACAGUCUUGACGGUAUCUUAUCAGAAAGCCACGGCUAACUACGUGCCAGCCGCCGCCGUAA
Molecule: ribosomal RNA, 513 nt
Filed under: uncultured bacterium
Lineage: Bacteria
Description: partial 16S ribosomal RNA
Rfam family: Bacterial small subunit ribosomal RNA
Source: RNAcentral